Molecule: long non-coding RNA, 433 nt
Filed under: Mus caroli (Ryukyu mouse)
Lineage: Eukaryota; Metazoa; Chordata; Mammalia; Rodentia; Muridae
Description: lncRNA (MGP_CAROLIEiJ_G0005010.1)
Source: RNAcentral
AGCUACAGCUCUGGUUACCUAACCAAGAGCUUCACAGAUCUUGAAGCCCCAAUAGUAACUGGAGAAAAACACUUGGGAAAUUAUAUCCUUGGUGCACAGCUGGCUGCAUCUGAUGCAGAAGAUUAGACUAAACAAAAAGUUCCAACUAAGGCCAGAGUGGGAGACUUCGCUCAUCCUCCCUCCCCGUCCGUCCUGCACUCUACCUUCCUAUUAGAGGACCAACUUUAUAGCAGAGAGUGAUUUGAAUCUCAACAGAGUUCUUACUCUCCAUGGGCUUGUUGCUCAAGGCCACCAUGGAAUUCUGUUUUCUGUUCCCCAGCAGUGAAGACUCCACGGCAACUCCAGGUGUGGACCAAGUGAAUACAGGAACAGUCCUUUCUGUCAGUAGAAGCUGCAGCUGGCAUGUGGGCAGAACGAGCAAGGCCAUGCAUGG